CUCAUGUCCCAAACCAUCCACCAAAAUACCACAAUAAAAUAUAACCACUGCACUUUAUAGAUCGUCACUGCCAAAAAUUAUGUGGAUGCAUCCUUUUUUGUGUUAACUACAUAAAAAAUAAUAAUAAUAAUAAGAAAGCACAACAAUUUGUAUAUACACAAAUCACAAAACCGAUGCAGUUAAUUAAUAGAGGAAAGACUAAUGGUGGUGGUGGUAUAUUGCUGAAACAAGGCCUUCAUCAGGCAACAUUUAAUCGUCCUUGUACUCUUUAGCAGGCCGUGCUUCAAAGCCACCCCCUUCUCUCUUCUCAAGUGAGUAAGGCAUAUAUGUUCCAAGAAUUCUAUCCCACAUGACAAAGAAUGGCUGUGAAAAGUUGUAUUUGCUUCCGUAAAGCUGAUGAUGGACAUCAUGAUAAGCAGUAUUAUUUUUAAAGAACAUGUGGAAAAGAUUCCCAGGAAGCCAUAACCCACAAUGGUCAUCCACUGUUUUGAUGGUGGCAAAUGAGAAGAAGAAAAUGGAGGCUCGAGGAGACAUCCCAGAGAAGAGAAAAGAUAAGGCCCCACCAAUUGUGUCAAGCAGAAGCCCCUCCAGUGGAUGAUUGUAUAGAGCUCCGAACGCAUAGGGGACAACAAGCCGAUGAUGUUGAGAAUGAAUAUGCCUAUAUAGAAACUUGUUGUGAUGCAUGUAUCUAUGCAUGAAAUACUGCCAAGUAUCCAAAACCAACAUAGCCAUAACAAACUGUCUAGCUAGAACAAUUAGGGAAGGUUGUUGAUCUAUAGCAGCCUGAGAAUCAUUUGCAGUUACCGUAAACAAGAGGAUAGCAACAACAGCUUGUAUAGAUUGUUGAAGAAGAACGCCUUUCACAACAGUGGCUUUGGAGACCAAAUUUUUCUCAUCCUCAUCCUGCUUGGUGUGCAAUCUAUAAUUUUCAAAGUAUCCUAAUCCAACAUACAACCCCGAAUAAACCCAGUAGACAAGAAUUGGGACAAAAGUACCCAACAGUUCAUCAGAAAUUUGAAAACCCAUGUUGCCAAAUAACAUCAGUGAAAGCAUAAAACAACCAACCAGCAAGGAAAGUGUAUGUUUUUUUUCUACGAAAAUACUGAUGAUUAUUACUAUAUAUAAUAAAAGAUGGGUUGUAGUUGAGGAGGUGGGAUCACGUAAUUCAAAUUAGGGUUUGAAUGGGAGAAGAAGAUUCCACAUAGUCAUUGGAACCGAAGAGGAGGGACAGAGAGGAAAAAUUAGAUAGAGACAGAAAAGAAAAAUCAACCCACGAGCUGGGGGGAGAUUGGAGAGGUUCGAUUUUUUAUAUUUU
Molecule: unclassified non-coding RNA, 1315 nt
Filed under: Hevea brasiliensis (rubber tree)
Lineage: Eukaryota; Viridiplantae; Streptophyta; Magnoliopsida; Malpighiales; Euphorbiaceae
Source: RNAcentral